This 2899-nucleotide unclassified non-coding RNA is filed under the name Chelonus insularis. RNAcentral's name for it is "gamma-glutamyl hydrolase-like, transcript variant X4". The record is from RNAcentral. Lineage: Eukaryota; Metazoa; Arthropoda; Insecta; Hymenoptera; Braconidae.
GAUGUAUGGUCGCCUCAAAUUUUUCUCUACAAACAAUGAUGUAUUUAUUGAUUUUUUUCAUGUGAAAAAUAUUUAUAAAUAAUGUACAAAAUGGUAUACAAGAUUAAAUACAAAGUUUUGUGACUCAAAUGUAGUGACAAAUUUAUAGAGAAUGAUUUUCUUAUGAAUGGCUGAUGACAACCAAGGUUCACCAUGGCACUUUGAAAUUUUACUGCAACAUCACUGAUAAUUAAUGAAUAUUAAUUACUACAAACUAAUUUUAAAAUGAAAGAGACGCAUAUAUAAUCUCAGAGAAACGUCUCAGCUUUCAAUAAAGACAAAUCGUCGCACAAUAUUUAUUUUUUAUCGAGUAAUCAGUGGAAAUUUUUUUGUUUUCACAAGUCAAAAUUUGAUUAUAAUCCAGCAUAAACAAUAAUUAUAAUAAUAAUCAUAAUAAUUUUAUAAGAGAACCCUUACAUAAUAUUAAGAUAUGAUAAUAUUAUUUCUCUGGGGAAUAAUAAUUGCGACUCUUUAAUCUAUCAAAAAAAAAUUUGUUAUUGAACAUCAAUUAGUGAAUAAUUCUAUUGAUACGUUUGAUAUUAUUGCUGUUAUUAAUCAUCAUUAUUCUUCAAUCAAAAAUCAAAAAAUGCUUACGUGUCGCAUGUCAUUGAUUGGAUUAUCUAUUUAUCUAUUUUGUAUCAUACAAUUGCAAUGUAUUGUUGCAGUUAGGUGUCCUGUUGGACCCAACGAACGCCCAAUCAUAGGAAUUUUAGCACAAGAAGCAAGUCAUCGAAUGAAAAGUUUAUACAAUGGGACAUAUAAGACUUAUAUCGCUGCAUCAUAUGUAAAGUUUUUAGAAAGUGGGGGAGCUCAAGUUGUACCUAUUUGGCAGGGAAAAGAUGUUUCUUACUACGAGAAUAUUCUGAGGCAGAUCAAUGGAGUUGUUUUGCCUGGUGGUUCUGCGUAUUUCAAUACAACCAAUGGAUAUGCUGAUUCUGCUCGCAUAAUAUAUCGUAUUGCUACUGAUAUUAAUUUAUCUGGAACUUAUUUUCCGCUGUGGGGAGCCUGUUUAGGUUUUGAAGUAAUGACAUAUAUAGCUGCUGGUGAUCAGUAUAUUUGCAAACGAUGUUAUGGCAUGAACAAUGUUGCUUCACCAUUGGAAUUUAAAUCAGAUUAUCGUACACGCCGAUUAUUUAAACAUGCACCAUCAGAAAUUAUUGAAAUUUUAAACAAUGAAAAUGUGACUGCAAAUUUUCAUCACUAUUGUGUCACAGAAGAGGACUUUGCAAAGGUCGGCCUAUCUAAUACCUAUCGAGUAGUCACCAUAAACCGUGAUAGUCGAGACACGGCAUUUAUAUCAACUAUGGAGCAUGAUCAAUAUCCAUUUUAUGGAGUGCAAUAUCACCCUGAGAAGAAUAGUUUCGAGUGGGCCGAUCGAUUAACUGGUAUACCGCAUUCAAGCAAUGCUAUUAAAGUCAGCCAAUAUUUUGCUAACUUUAUCGUUGACGAGGCUCGGAAAAACUUUAAUUCAUUUCGGACGAAGGAUGAAGAAAAAGAAAGUUUGAUUUAUAAUUACGAAGUGACAUACACUUCAUCACCUAAAUCAUCAUUUACUCAGUGUUAUUUAUUUGAAUGGUGAAUACUAAUUCCAAGAGUUAUAAAGUCAAAUACUUAACAAUGGGUCGUAGAAUUUCGUUAUGAAAUUUAUUGCAACUAUUUAAUUAUUAUGGACUUGCUCUUUGAGAGAUAAGAGUAUACAUGGAAUUUAUUUUAUCAUUUUGAAGGUUUAAAACUAAAUAAAUUGCUGGAUAAGUGAAACUUGAGAAUAAAGUAAAUAGUUGUAAAGGGCAGCUUUGUCCAGAUGCAAAAAUAAGUCAAGUGAAGAAAAACAUUUAAAAUGAGCAGUGUCGUCUAUCUUUGAAGGACAAAGUUGGAAGGGGGCUUUGCGGAAGGGGAUGCAGUGGAUGAAAACCGAUCAGCUCAGCUCUGUUGUAAAGUGGCAAGAACUAGGGCAGGUUGCUCGUGGCCACAUCAAUGACGCCAGUGACGUCACACACCAGGUAUCGGAUGAAGAACUGGGCCAGAGGAUGGAGAAGGGGAAAACAUAAGGAUAGAGGAUGGUUAGGGCACAGAAGAUUGUGUCGACUGAAUGAUGACUAUAGGAAUGGCUUCCCAGGGUUUUUCUUCCUCGAGGUGAAGGUCUUUUACGUGUACAAUAUAAAGAGGGUUUAUUUAUCCUAUAAUGUUUUUCCAUUCAAAAAAACAAUACCACUGAAUGUGUGAUAAAUCUCUAGAAAAUUUUGGAUCUAAAAAUAGCCUUGAUGGUUUCGGUUACUGGUCUUUUUAUUACUUUAGUAAUGUCUUUUCUAUUUCUUUCAUUUCCUUUGUAUAAAAUACAAUGAUUAUCGAUCAUUAUUAACGACAUUGCAUAAAACAUCUAAUGUUUGGGAAAAAACUCCUUUCUUAAUUUUUCCCAUAAUGUUCUAGACCUUUUUCAAUCAAUUUAAGUUUGUAUUCUUGUAGUGGCUGUUAAAAUCUUGAGCUUGAUAGGAUGUAUUAUUUUUUAUAAAGCACGAAUGUAGUUCAUUUAAAGUAAGAAAUUAAAAAUAGUUAAUUCUUGUAAAAAGGUCAAAAAGCUAGAUAAUAAAGUUCAACUUGUAUAUUUAAAUCGAAAAAAGUUAAAAUACUGUAUUGCAGGAUAUCAAUGAAUAUAUGAUACACAGAAUUUCUUGGUUGUCGAAAUUCAGGUUACGCGGUAGGGUCGUGAAUGGAAUCGAUGACGUCAUGGAGUGCAAGCUCCGCGAAAUAGGUCACUCCUUGGCCUCGCCAUGGCCACUGCGAAAUAUCCUCAUACUGUGUGAUCAGUCACGUUUAUUGUUUUCAUGACUUUCCGUGUAUGUAUGAUGUUUAUUAUUUUUAA